Molecule: long non-coding RNA, 1803 nt
Organism: Equus caballus (horse)
Lineage: Eukaryota; Metazoa; Chordata; Mammalia; Perissodactyla; Equidae
Source: Ensembl
AUUACCACCUGUGGAUAACUGAAAUAAAGUUCAAGCGAAGCCAUGUCCAUAGAAAAUAUAAAGAUGUGAGAAAUCCAAGGAACGUGUGUGAUGAGCUGGUUCCUUCGUCUGUCCUGGACAUCUGAAGGAAAGAAAUGCCUGAAAGCUCAAGUCCCAAUUUCUCAGCUCAAGUAAAAGACACUAAAUCAUAGCAUUUAAAGAAUUUCUUGUCAACUACAUCUUCCAGGAUGAUAUAUCCGAAAGCUGAAAUUAAAAUUUGAUCCUGUAGGUUUAUGAAUUACAGUGCCUGCUGUACUCUGAGCCUCAAGGCAGUAGUUAAAGCCUGCCAUCUGCCCACAGAAGAUCUUGAUUGCUGUGGAUGAUGUCAAUCUGCAUGACCCCAGCCCAAAGUUUUCUGAGUAAGCACUGUUUAGAUGUUCAUUUUUAAAUGAAUAAAUUAGGCCAUGACCUUCAAGAAACCAUACGUGUGUGUGUAUGUAUAUAUGGGUAUUAUGUAUGAACAUACAUGUAUGUACAUACAUACACAUAUAUGUGACAUCAAGGCCAUAUAUAUGCAGGUAUGUUCAUAUAUGUAUACACAUAUAUGUUCUUGAUUUAAUAGCUUUAAGUAAUAUCUUUUGAAUUAAGAUUAAAGGUGAGGAAAUAAACAUGAACAGUUCCCUGAUGUCAUUUCCCGUCGGUCUGCAGCUUGUUUACUCUGUUCUGGCACAUCAGCCCCUUUGUGGCUUCUCGAGGAGCUCAGGGACACACCUACUUUCAGAGUUUUGCUUUACUCAUUUUCAUUGCCAUAAUGCUGCUCUUGUGGUUCUCUGCUUGGCAAAUUCACUCACUUCCUUCAUGUUUAUGCCCAAAUCUCCCCUUAUCAAUAUUUCUACCGCACUGCCAGCCCCCCCUUACAGUAGUGUAUUGACUCUGUUUCCAUCUUUCUCCUUGCUUUCUUACAUAGCACAUCAUUUAUGUGUGUAUUACCUGCACUUAGUAUCUGUUCUACCUUCCCUUCAUCGUACAAACUCCACAAUAGGGGUAUUCGUCAGUUUUGUUUCCUAAUAUAUCUUAGGUUUCUCAAACAGUGCCUGUCAUGUGUUAGGUUCGCAGUGAUUGUAUGAUUAAUAAAAUAUUUGUUGAGUGAAAGAAAUUCGCUUUUUCCUGAGCUCAUUCAGUCACAGUGUUUUAAUCUCUUUAUCAUUUUACUAUCUUUUUCUUCAGCUCAUAUGUUUCAGCUUUAUGCUACUGAUUCAUAGACAUGAUUUCUGCGUUAAACAUAUUAUUUUAAUUCUCCAUUUUCAUCAAGGUGUACAAAACAUUUCCAGUAACUAUUUUUUGUCUAUUUUUUUAAGUUGCCUUUCCUUGUAAUAUCUUUCUACUGCCUGUGUGAACUCUCAGGGUUGAAGGAGGUGAGCAUUCCUUAAGUUAUAUAUUUGUAGGAGUUUCACGUAGGAAAAUGAUUAGUACUAUGUGUCAGGUUACUUGUCGUUUUCCUUUUCCCCCAAGAUUUGGUGGGUAAAUUUGUUUAUUCUCACUUCUCACCAGUUGAGGAGGAUAACAAAUCUUCUACCCCUCUGACAUGGAGAUGGGCUCCAUCCUGACUACAUGGCCUGCCUAUGCCAUUCCUUUGCCUCCUGUUUCUAGGAAGCAAACUGAUUUGAGAGAAGUUCCCAUCACCAUAUUCCCUUUUCUCUCCCUGGUAAGCAAAACGGAUUCACUGCAGACAUGGCUGUCACCUUCAAGAAGCCUAUUUGUCUGAGAUUGAUUGCCAUAAUCCUGUCUGUUUCCUAAAAGACUAACUACUAUUUGAGGCUCUUU